AGUGAACGCUGGCGGUAGGCCUAACACAUGCAAGUCGAACGGCAGCACAGUAAGAGCUUGCUCUUACGGGUGGCGAGUGGCGGACGGGUGAGGAAUACAUCGGAAUCUACUUUUUCGUGGGGGAUAACGUAGGGAAACUUACGCUAAUACCGCAUACGACCUACGGGUGAAAGCAGGGGAUCUUCGGACCUUGCGCGAUUGAAUGAGCCGAUGUCGGAUUAGCUAGUUGGCGGGGUAAAGGCCCACCAAGGCGACGAUCCGUAGCUGGUCUGAGAGGAUGAUCAGCCACACUGGAACUGAGACACGGUCCAGACUCCUACGGGAGGCAGCAGUGGGGAAUAUUGGACAAUGGGCGAAAGCCUGAUCCAGCAAUACCGCGUGGGUGAAGAAGGCCUUCGGGUUGUAAAGCCCUUUUGUUGGGAAAGAAAAGCAGCAGGUUAAUACCCCGCUGUUCUGACGGUACCCAAAGAAUAAGCACCGGCCAACUUCGUG
RNAcentral lists this ribosomal RNA (492 nucleotides) under uncultured bacterium. RNAcentral's name for it is "partial 16S ribosomal RNA". It matches the Rfam family "Bacterial small subunit ribosomal RNA", at positions 29 to 507 of the family's 1533-position model. The record is from RNAcentral.